RNAcentral lists this ribosomal RNA (369 nucleotides) under uncultured bacterium. Its description in RNAcentral is "bacterial SSU rRNA". It matches the Rfam family "Bacterial small subunit ribosomal RNA", at positions 525 to 896 of the family's 1533-position model. The record is from RNAcentral.
ACAGAGGUGGCAAGCGUUGUUCGGAUUCACUGGGUGUAAAGGUCAUGUAGGCGUUUUGUUAAGUCGGGCGUGAAAUCCUAUGGCUCAACCAUAGAACUGCGCUCGAUACUGGCAGGAUUGAGUACGGGAGAGGUAAGCGGAAUUCCAGAAGUAAGGGUGAAAUCUGUAGAUAUCUGGAAGAACACCAUUAGCGAAGGCGGCUUACUGGUCCGAUACUGACGCUGAAAUGAGAAAGCUAGGGGAGCAAACAGGAUUAGAUACCCUGGUAGUCCUAGCCGUAAACGAUGGGCACUGGAUGCUGGCUCGCAAGGGUCGGUGUCGUAGCUAACGCGUUAAGUGCCCCACCUGGGGACUACGGUCGCAAGGCUA